CGACGAGUGGCGAACGGGUGAGUAACACGUGAGUAACCUGCCCACAACUUUGGGAUAACGCUAGGAAACUGGUGCUAAUACUGGAUAUGUGCUCCUGCUGCAUGGUGGGGGUUGGAAAGUUUCGGCGGUUGGGGAUGGACUCGCGGCUUAUCAGCUUGUUGGUGGGGUAGUGGCUUACCAAGGCUUUGACGGGUAGCCGGCCUGAGAGGGUGACCGGCCACAUUGGGACUGAGAUACGGCCCAG
This 244-nucleotide ribosomal RNA is filed under the name uncultured Actinomycetales bacterium. RNAcentral describes it as "partial 16S ribosomal RNA". It matches the Rfam family "Bacterial small subunit ribosomal RNA", at positions 89 to 334 of the family's 1533-position model. Lineage: Bacteria; Bacillati; Actinomycetota; Actinomycetes; Actinomycetales. The record is from RNAcentral.